AUGGCACGGCGCACACAAAUCGGACCGCCCGAUUGCCAGCAAGAUCCAAAAGGCCAGAGCAAAAACAGAGCCCCCGGCCGUUUCCACACCCCAUUCCCACCACCGCCCGGCUCUUCCAUGGACGGCCUCCAGCGCUGGCCAGCGUUGGCCGCCGCCGCCAGCGCGAGGGGUGAGGGGCAGCCUCCGGGCGGGCAGCGCGUCAUUCACUGUGACGUCGAGUCGGCGCCGCGGGCGUGGCCAGAAAUGCAGAUGCUGGCCCUCGCCGCCAGCCUCGUGCUCGGGGGCCUCCAGUGCAUGCCACUGACUACCCCUGAACCUGAGUCACCUUCUUCUUGUUCUUUUAUUUUAUAUGAGGGUACCGCUGCCGCACUUCUUUCGCGGAUAGCGAAAUUAGAUGGAUGCAAUCUGGCUUCCACCUCGUGGAUGCUUGAAAUUUAG
RNAcentral lists this ribosomal RNA (438 nucleotides) under Triticum aestivum (bread wheat). Its description in RNAcentral is "partial small subunit ribosomal RNA". The record is from RNAcentral. Lineage: Eukaryota; Viridiplantae; Streptophyta; Magnoliopsida; Poales; Poaceae.